This 440-nucleotide ribosomal RNA is filed under the name uncultured bacterium. RNAcentral describes it as "partial 16S ribosomal RNA". It matches the Rfam family "Bacterial small subunit ribosomal RNA", at positions 338 to 795 of the family's 1533-position model. The record is from RNAcentral.
CCUACGGGAGGCAGCAGUAGGGAAUAUUGCUCAAUGGGCGAAACCCUGAAGCAGCAACGCCGCGUGAAGGAUGAAGGUUUUCGGAUUGUAAACUCCUUUUGUUAGAGAAGAUAAUGACGGUAUCUAACGAAUAACCACCGGAAAACUCCGUGCCAGCAGCCGCGGUAAUACGGAGGGUGCAAGCGUUACUCGGAAUCACUGGGCGUAAAGAGCGCGUAGGCGGGUUUGUAAGUAAGAUGUGAAAUCCUAUGGCUUAACCAUAGAACUGCAUUUGAAACUGUUAUUCUAGAGUGUGGGAGAGGUAAGUGGAAUGCUUGGUGUAGGGGUGAAAUGCGUAGAGAUCAAGAGGAAUACUCAUUGCGAAGGCGACCUGCUAGAACAUAACUGACGCUGAUGCGCGAAAGCGUGGGGAGCAAACAGGAUUAGAUACCCGUGUAGUC